Molecule: ribosomal RNA, 454 nt
Filed under: uncultured cyanobacterium
Lineage: Bacteria; Bacillati; Cyanobacteriota
Description: bacterial SSU rRNA
Rfam family: Bacterial small subunit ribosomal RNA
Source: RNAcentral
AGAGUUUGAUCAUGGCUCAGGAUGAACGCUGGCGGUCUGCUUAACACAUGCAAGUCGAACGGAAGUAGCAAUACUUUAGUGGCGGACGGGUGAGUAACGCGUGAGAAUCUACCUUCAGGACGGAGACAACAGUUGGAAACGACUGCUAACCCCCGAUGUACCGCAAGGGCAAAUAUUUAUAGCCUGAAGAAGAGCUCGCGUCCGAUUAGCUAGUUGGGGGGGUAAAAGCCCACCAAGGCGACGAUCGGUAGCUGGUCUGAGAGGACGAUCAGCCACACUGGGACUGAGACACGGCCCAGACUCCUACGGGAGGCAGCAGUGGGGAAUUUUCCGCAAUGGGCGCAAGCCUGACGGAGCAAGACCGCGUGGGGGAGGAAGGCUCUUGGGUUGUAAACCCCUUUUCUCUGGGAAGAACAAAAUGACGGUACCAGAGGAUCAGCUUCGGAUUCCCCUC